Molecule: long non-coding RNA, 344 nt
Organism: Pundamilia nyererei
Lineage: Eukaryota; Metazoa; Chordata; Actinopteri; Cichliformes; Cichlidae
Exons: 4
Source: RefSeq, a predicted model, not a curated record
GAUGAAGGUUUCUACAAGUGUCAGUACUCAGGAAAAGAGUCACCAUCGCGUUACAUGACGGUUAAAUCUACUGUACCACCUGAAACCUUCAGCCAGAGUGAAAGUAGUGAAAACAGCCCCCUUCAUCCUGGUAGUGCCGCUGUCUAUGAAUCAGCAAACAAAAAUGGAAGACACUGGAAAUGGUCAGUGAGAAGAGCCGUAGCUGCGAAGCAAAAAAGAAUCCUUUUGUGAACCCACUGUUGCUCCUCUGCUACACAAACAUCAGUGACGCUUCAGAUUUUCCACAGUUAGUUUGUUUGAAGAUAGCACAUUAAAUACAGACCUCAUACUCUAUACACUAUUAU